Triticum aestivum (bread wheat) is the source of this 490-nucleotide long non-coding RNA. RefSeq lists it as uncharacterized. The record is from RefSeq and is a predicted model, not a curated record. The transcript has 2 exons. NCBI's taxonomy places the organism in Eukaryota, Viridiplantae, Streptophyta, Magnoliopsida, Poales, Poaceae.
UCAAACAUCGAAAGAGAAAACCCUUUUUUUUAUUUGCCGUACCACGAGGCCUGUCCCUGGCCCAAGCCCAAGCGAGAUCCGACGACGGCCGAGCGAGCCGAUCCCCAAUCCGGGAGAACGCCGGCGAUUCCGUCCAUCCUCCGUCGCUCCAUAGCCGUACGAUCCACAUAGUGCCGCGGCGGAGUGGCCAGCCGGCCGGCCGGCCGGGGGACUGGCAACGAGAGAGGAUGAGGGAGAAUCAGCAAACAGAUCGAGGGGCUCGGCUGGCUAGCGCCGGUCGAAUAGGAAGCCUGAAUAAGGUACCUGACUGUCAGAUAGGAAGCCUGAACAUGUACUACUUGACUGUCAGAUAGCAAGGUAGCAUCUUCCUACUGGAGCGCUCUAGCAGCAAGCACUUCUAUCAUCGGCAAAAACCGACUCCGCAUUCGACAGUUGCUUUUAAUGAAAACUCCCCUGUGGGUAUUUGUGCUCUGAAGCACCAAACUAGUCC